This 615-nucleotide ribosomal RNA is filed under the name Cornularia pabloi. RNAcentral's name for it is "partial 16S ribosomal RNA". It matches the Rfam family "Bacterial large subunit ribosomal RNA", at positions 1843 to 2577 of the family's 2925-position model. Lineage: Eukaryota; Metazoa; Cnidaria; Anthozoa; Scleralcyonacea; Cornulariidae. The record is from RNAcentral.
GCAUAGGGGGUGAAUUCUGCCCACUGGUUGUAUCGUGAAACUAAAGAUUAACAUCUUAAGCGAAGCCCGACUGAAUGGCCGCGGUAACUCUGACCGUGAUAAUGUAGCACAAUAAAUAGCCAAUUAAUUGUUGGCGGGUAUGAAUGGAACCACGAGGAUCUUACUGUCUCAAGAGGGAAGCCGGUGAAAUUAUAAUUGUAGUGAAGAUACUACAUCGAUAUUGUAAGACGAAAAGACCCUAUCGAGCUUUACUGGGUACCGAUAGCAUUAACUUAUAAUAAUAGGCGGCUUGGGGCUUAGUUAUAGGCUAAUUAAUAAUGUCGGUAGGACAGUUUAGUUGGGGCGACUACCUUUGAAUAAGAAACGAAGGCGAGCUUAUGGUAGUAUAAGUAAUCACAUCCGCCUCACAGUGAGGGGGACACUCCUAACUGGCACAAUAAUCUGUGGGUGAUAGUGACCCGAUAGGAUUACCCAAAACAUCCAUCGAAAGCGGAUAAAAGCUACCGUAGGGAUAACAGCGUAAUAUUGUCGGAGAGUUCUUAUCGAUGACAGUGUUUGCGACCUCGAUGUUGAAUUGCGGCGUCCUGGUGCUGUAGAAGGUACCUUAGGUUGGUC